This 790-nucleotide ribosomal RNA is filed under the name uncultured bacterium. RNAcentral's name for it is "bacterial SSU rRNA". It matches the Rfam family "Bacterial small subunit ribosomal RNA", at positions 559 to 1347 of the family's 1533-position model. The record is from RNAcentral. RNAcentral also lists the same sequence under 1 other name.
CGUAAAGAGCUCGUAGGUGGUUUGUCGCGUUGUUCGUGAAAUCUCACGGCUUAACUGUGAGCGUGCGGGCGAUACGGGCAGACUUGAGUACUGCAGGGGAGACUGGAAUUCCUGGUGUAGCGGUGGAAUGCGCAGAUAUCAGGAGGAACACCGGUGGCGAAGGCGGGUCUCUGGGCAGUAACUGACGCUGAGGAGCGAAAGCGUGGGGAGCGAACAGGAUUAGAUACCCUGGUAGUCCACGCCGUAAACGGUGGGUACUAGGUGUGGGUUUCCUUCCUUGGGAUCCGUGCCGUAGCUAACGCAUUAAGUACCCCGCCUGGGGAGUACGGCCGCAAGGCUAAAACUCAAAGAAAUUGACGGGGGCCCGCACAAGCGGCGGAGCAUGUGGAUUAAUUCGAUGCAACGCGAAGAACCUUACCUGGGUUUGACAUGCACAGGACGCCGGCAGAGAUGUCGGUUCCCUUGUGGCCUGUGUGCAGGUGGUGCAUGGCUGUCGUCAGCUCGUGUCGUGAGAUGUUGGGUUAAGUCCCGCAACGAGCGCAACCCUUGUCUCAUGUUGCCAGCGGGUAAUGCCGGGGACUCGUGAGAGACUGCCGGGGUCAACUCGGAGGAAGGUGGGGAUGACGUCAAGUCAUCAUGCCCCUUAUGUCCAGGGCUUCACACAUGCUACAAUGGCCGGUACAAAGGGCUGCGAUGCCGCGAGGUUAAGCGAAUCCUUUUAAAGCCGGUCUCAGUUCGGAUCGGGGUCUGCAACUCGACCCCGUGAAGUCGGAGUCGCUAGUAAUCGCAG